This 424-nucleotide ribosomal RNA is filed under the name uncultured prokaryote. RNAcentral's name for it is "bacterial SSU rRNA". It matches the Rfam family "Bacterial small subunit ribosomal RNA", at positions 355 to 796 of the family's 1533-position model. The record is from RNAcentral.
UGGGGAAUAUUGGACAAUGGGGGCAAGCCUGAUCCAGCCAUGCCGCGUGGGUGAAGAAGGCCCUAGGGUUGUAAAUCCCUUUCAGCGGGGAAGAUAAUGACGGUACCCGCAGAAGAAGCCCCGACUAACUUCGUGCCAGCAGCCGCGGUAAUACGAAGGGGGCUAGCGUUGUUCGGAAUUACUGGGCGUAAAGCGCGCGUAGGCGGACUGGUCAGUUGGGGGUGAAAUCCCGGGGCUCAACCUCGGAACUGCCUUCAAUACUGCCAGUCUCGAGUCCGGGAGAGGUGAGUGGAAUUCCUAGUGUAGAGGUGAAAUUCGUAGAUAUUAGGAAGAACACCAGUGGCGAAGGCGGCUCACUGGCCCGGUACUGACGCUGAGGUGCGAAAGCGUGGGGAGCAAACAGGAUUAGAUACCCCCGUAGUCC